This 523-nucleotide ribosomal RNA is filed under the name uncultured bacterium. RNAcentral describes it as "partial 16S ribosomal RNA". It matches the Rfam family "Bacterial small subunit ribosomal RNA", at positions 355 to 870 of the family's 1533-position model. The record is from RNAcentral.
UGGGGAAUUUUGGACAAUGGGCGAAAGCCUGAUCCAGCAAUGCCGCGUGUGUGAAGAAGGCCUUCGGGUUGUAAAGCACUUUUGUCCGGAAAGAAAUCCUUGGCUCUAAUACAGUCGGGGGAUGACGGUACCGGAAGAAUAAGCACCGGCUAACUACGUGCCAGCAGCCGCGGUAAUACGUAGGGUGCAAGCGUUAAUCGGAAUUACUGGGCGUAAAGCGUGCGCAGGCGGUUUGCUAAGACCGAUGUGAAAUCCCCGGGCUCAACCUGGGAACUGCAUUGGUGACUGGCAGGCUAGAGUAUGGCAGAGGGGGGUAGAAUUCCACGUGUAGCAGUGAAAUGCGUAGAGAUGUGGAGGAAUACCGAUGGCGAAGGCAGCCCCCUGGGCCAAUACUGACGCUCAUGCACGAAAGCGUGGGGAGCAAACAGGAUUAGAUACCCUGGUAGUCCACGCCCUAAAACGAUGUCAACUAGCUGUUGGGGAUUCAUUUCCUUAGUAACGUAGCUAACGCGUGAAGUUGACC